UCCUACGGGAGGCAGCAGUGAGGAAUAUUGGUCAAUGGGCGAGAGCCUGAACCAGCCAAGUAGCGUGCAGGAUGACGGCCCUAUGGGUUGUAAACUGCUUUUAUGCGGGGAUAAAGUUCACUACGUGUAGUGUUUUGUAGGUACCGCAUGAAUAAGGACCGGCUAAUUCCGUGCCAGCAGCCGCGGUAAUACGGAAGGUCCGGGCGUUAUCCGGAUUUAUUGGGUUUAAAGGGAGCGCAGGCCGGAGGUCAAGCGUGACGUGAAAUGUAGCCGCUCAACGGCUGAACUGCGUCGCGAACUGGCUUUCUUGAGUGAGUUCGAUGUGGGCGGAAUUCGUGGUGUAGCGGUGAAAUGCUUAGAUAUCACGAAGAACUCCGAUUGCGAAGGCAGCCCACAAGGCCUUUACUGACGCUAAAGCUCGAAGGUGCGGGUAUCGAACAGGAUUAGAUACCCUGGUAGUCC
RNAcentral lists this ribosomal RNA (462 nucleotides) under uncultured bacterium. Its description in RNAcentral is "bacterial SSU rRNA". It matches the Rfam family "Bacterial small subunit ribosomal RNA", at positions 337 to 796 of the family's 1533-position model. The record is from RNAcentral.